RNAcentral lists this ribosomal RNA (468 nucleotides) under uncultured bacterium. Its description in RNAcentral is "partial 16S ribosomal RNA". It matches the Rfam family "Bacterial small subunit ribosomal RNA", at positions 28 to 507 of the family's 1533-position model. The record is from RNAcentral.
GACGAACGCUGGCGGCGUGCUUAACACAUGCAAGUCGAACGGAAAGGCCCUGCUUUUGUGGGGUGCUCGAGUGGCGAACGGGUGAGUAACACGUGAGUAACCUGCCCUUGACUUUGGGAUAACUUCAGGAAACUGGGGCUAAUACCGGAUAGGAGCUCCUGCUGCAUGGUGGGGGUUGGAAAGUUUCGGCGGUUGGGGAUGGACUCGCGGCUUAUCAGCUUGUUGGUGGGGUAGUGGCUUACCAAGGCUUUGACGGGUAGCCGGCCUGAGAGGGUGACCGGCCACAUUGGGACUGAGGUACGGCCCAGACUCGUACCGGAGGCAGUAGUCGGGAAUAUUGCACAAUGGGCGGAAGCCUGAUGCAGCAACGCCGGGUGCGGGAUGACGGCCUUCGGGGUGUAAACCGCUUUCGCCUGUGACGAAGCGUGAGUGACGGUAAUGGGUAAAGAAGCACCGGCUAACUACGUG